Molecule: ribosomal RNA, 576 nt
Filed under: uncultured Flavobacterium sp.
Lineage: Bacteria; Pseudomonadati; Bacteroidota; Flavobacteriia; Flavobacteriales; Flavobacteriaceae
Description: bacterial SSU rRNA
Rfam family: Bacterial small subunit ribosomal RNA
Source: RNAcentral
UCCUACGGGAGGCAGCAGGAGGAAUAUUGGACAAUGGGCGCAAGCCUGAUCCAGCCAUGCCGCGUGCAGGAUGACGGUCCUAUGGAUUGUAAACUGCUUUUGUACGAGAAGAAACACUGAUUCGUGAAUCAGCUUGACGGUAUCGUAAGAAUAAGGAUCGGCUAACUCCGUGCCAGCAGCCGCGGUAAUACGGAGGGUCCAAGCGUUAUCCGGAAUUAUUGGGUUUAAAGGGUCCGUAGGCGGUUUAGUAAGUCAGUGGUGAAGGCCCAUCGCUCAACGGUGGAACGGCCAUUGAUACUGCUGAACUUGAAUUAUUAGGAAGUAACUAGAAUAUGUAGUGUAGCGGUGAAAUGUUUAGAGAUUACAUGGAAUACCAAUUGCGAAGGCAGGUUACUACUAAUUGAUUGACACUGAUGGACGAAAGCGUGGGGAGCGAACAGGAUUAGAUACCCUGGUAGUCCACGCCGUAAACGGUGGAUACUAGCUGUUGGGAGCAAUUUCAGUGGCUAAGCGAAAGUGAUAAGUAUCCCACCUGGGGAGUACGUUCGCAAGAAUGAAACUCAAAGGAAUUGACGG